Molecule: unclassified non-coding RNA, 385 nt
Filed under: soil metagenome
Description: partial contains 5.8S ribosomal RNA, internal transcribed spacer 2, and large subunit ribosomal RNA
Rfam family: 5.8S ribosomal RNA (bases 1-120)
Source: RNAcentral
GAUGAAGAACGCAGCGAAAUGCGAUAAGUAAUGUGAAUUGCAGAAUUCAGUGAAUCAUCGAAUCUUUGAACGCUCCUUGCGCUCCUUGGUAUUCCGAGGAGCAUGCCUGUUUGAGUGUCAUUAAAUUCUCAAUCUCUACAACUUUUGUGAUGUUUAGAUUGGAAGUGGGGGUUGUUGUGUGGAAUCUAAUUCCUCACUCCCUUUAAAUGCAUUAGCUGGAAUGCCUCUGCAUAUCUGACUAUCAGUGUGAUAAUUAUCUAUGCUGUAGUCGUUGCAUGAGGGGUAUCUGCUUCAUAAAUCGUCGUAAGACAAUUCUAUAUGACCAUCUUGACCUCAAAUCAGGUAGGACUACCCGCUGAACUUAAGCAUAUCAAUAAGCGGAGGA